Molecule: non-coding RNA, 96 nt
Filed under: Sphingobacteriales bacterium
Lineage: Bacteria; Pseudomonadati; Bacteroidota; Sphingobacteriia; Sphingobacteriales
Description: TPP sequence
Rfam family: TPP riboswitch aptamer (THI element)
About the family: Vitamin B(1) in its active form thiamin pyrophosphate (TPP) is an essential coenzyme that is synthesised by coupling of pyrimidine and thiazole moieties in bacteria. The previously detected thiamin-regulatory element, thi box was extended, resulting in a new, highly conserved RNA secondary structure, the THI element, which is widely distributed in eubacteria and also occurs in some archaea.
Source: RNAcentral
UCCGGACUUUAGGGGUGCUCGUUCACACGGGCUGAGAUAAUACCCUCAGAACCUGAUUCGGUUAGUACCGGCGAAGGGAAAAGACGGACUCUCUCU